GGAAUAUUGGACAAUGGGGGCAACCCUGAUCCAGCCAUGCCGCGUGUGUGAAGAAGGCUUUCGGGUUGUAAAGCACUUUCAGUGAGGAAGAAGGCCUUGGGCUUAAUACGUCCGAGGAAGGACAUCACUCACAGAAGACGCACCGGCUAACUCCGUGCCAGCAGCCGCGGUAAUACGGAGGGUGCGAGCGUUAAUCGGAAUUACUGGGCGUAAAGCGCACGUAGGCGGCUUUGCAAGUCGGGUGUGAAAUCCCCGGGCUCAACCUGGGAACUGCAUUCGAUACUGCAUUGCUCGAGUAUGGGAGAGGGAAGUGGAAUUUCCGGUGUAGCGGUGAAAUGCGUAGAUAUCGGAAGGAACACCAGUGGCGAAAGCGACUUCCUGGACCAAUACUGACGCUCAGGUGCGAAAGCGUGGGGAGCA
Molecule: ribosomal RNA, 420 nt
Filed under: uncultured bacterium
Lineage: Bacteria
Description: bacterial SSU rRNA
Rfam family: Bacterial small subunit ribosomal RNA
Source: RNAcentral